UACAAAUUAAAUACGCCAAGGUCCCAUACAAAAGGGUCAUCGUUUUUUGACUCACAGAAAACUAGAUUUAAAGAACCCUAUGCACGAAUUUUGCUUGACAAGUAACAAAUACUGAAAAAUGAUUAGAAAUGGCAACGCGUUUUGAUAGAUCCGAUCCAAGCAUGUCAUGUUCAGAUCUUUUUUUUUAACAAUUUGUUUAUGUUUUUGAAGUAAAAUUUUUGUAGAUCGCUUUCAUGAUUUUAUAUAAGGAGAAGUGCUUCGAAUGGGAUCUGCGAAGAGUGCGAUAGCAUUUAUACCGGAGACAUCGGUAGCAGAACUACCCAAAAUGGUAGUCAAUUGUACGGCAGGUGCUGAUUAUAUCUUGCGUACAUUCAACUGUGAUGUAGAAGGUGAUAAUGCGGUUGCGCAGAUGGUCACUGGUGUAUCAAGUAGAACCCACAAAGUAGCACCCGGGUGAGACGGACAAGGUGUUAUUUCCAGGAAGUUGGGAAAGAGUGCACUUGUACAAUGUGGAACCAAAACUGGCGUUACUGUCGAUUGAAAGUAACAAACAUCCACUCAAUAACCUGAAAAUAAAUAAUUCAGCUUUUGUGGAAGCGCAUUCAGGAAGAUGAUGGACAUAUUUGUAGAACGAAUGAACGGUAUUCCAUAUUCGGUGCACAAGAAUGUAAAACUAUUCAAAGUCUAACGGGUUGUGCAAACUUUGCGCCCGACGCAUGAGUUGCAGUACUUUCUCUGGUUCUCCAGUCAGAAUAGACAGCUGCCCUGAUAGGAGCGAGUGGUUUUUGGAAAUCGACAAAUGGUGGAAAAAAAUUACAAAACAACCGACUUGCACAACUUUUUGAAACUGUGGCUUCGAGGUCAGCUGCCGAUUCUUUUUUGAACGAGCAGCUAACGAAACAUCCGCUGCGGACGACUCAAUGCAACCAAGGUCGAAGUCGCCACCUUUUCUUAACAACCCGCAGUAUGACUGAGUCAACUAUAGUUUUCUUUAUGAAAUGUUAGGAAUAAAGUUAACGAUUUGCUUACUACGUGAA
Topomyia yanbarensis is the source of this 1037-nucleotide long non-coding RNA. RefSeq lists it as uncharacterized. The transcript is spliced from 2 exons. The record is from RefSeq and is a predicted model, not a curated record. Lineage: Eukaryota; Metazoa; Arthropoda; Insecta; Diptera; Culicidae.